RNAcentral lists this ribosomal RNA (373 nucleotides) under uncultured Bacteroidota bacterium. RNAcentral's name for it is "bacterial SSU rRNA". It matches the Rfam family "Bacterial small subunit ribosomal RNA", at positions 521 to 896 of the family's 1533-position model. Lineage: Bacteria; Pseudomonadati; Bacteroidota. The record is from RNAcentral.
UAAUACGGAGGGUGCAAGCGUUGUCCGGAAUCAUUGGGUGUAAAGGGUGCGUAGGCGGAUGCUUAAGUCUGAGGUGAAAUCUUGCCGCUUAACGGUAAAAUGGCCUUGGAUACUGGAUGUCUUGAGUGCAGAAGAGGCAGGUGGAAUUCGUAGUGUAGCGGUGAAAUGCAUAGAUAUUACGAAGAACAUCAGUGGCGAAGGCGGCCUGCUGGUCUGCAACUGACGCUGAGGCACGAAAGCGUGGGGAGCGAACAGGAUUAGAUACCCUGGUAGUCCACGCCGUAAACGAUGCAUACUAGGUGUUGGCCCUUAGGGGUCAGUGCUGCAGUUAACGCAUUAAGUAUGCCACCUGGGGAGUACGUCGGCAACGAUG